This 540-nucleotide ribosomal RNA is filed under the name Triticum aestivum (bread wheat). RNAcentral's name for it is "partial small subunit ribosomal RNA". Lineage: Eukaryota; Viridiplantae; Streptophyta; Magnoliopsida; Poales; Poaceae. The record is from RNAcentral.
AUGCGCCGGUUAAAGGCCGGCGAGAAUGUGCUUACAAGGGUGAGGCAAGAGAAAAAUAACCUCCAAGAUGCCAACACCCAGCUGGGUGAGGAACUAAAGGAUGUUCGUGCCCAGCUGUCUGACUCCGUUAAGGAGAAUCGGCGGCUUCGAUGCGACAUUUUUAGUAUGCCCACAGGCCGUCCUGCAGAGGAAAUGCCCGGUUCUAUGGGUGACCUUCUUCCCGAGCUCUUGCAACUGCACGAACGAGUUCGGCAGGUGAUGAAAGGCGUCGCCCAGGCCUUGUGGCCGUCUGUCUCCCUGCCCGAAGGCCUUGGAGAGCUUGCGGAGAGGCUUCAGGGAGCGCGGCAGCGCUUCCGCUUAUGGAAGAUAUCGGCCUGCCGUCAAGGCGCCAGGGAGGCCUGGGCCAUGCUGAAGACGCGGUAUACGAAGGCUGACCCAAACCACAUGGCCAAGGUCGGACCUGCGGGGCCCGAUGGGAAGGAGAUCCCUGUGAGCUUAGUGUACGGCCAAGUAGAAUUGGCCGCAAAGUAUUCCCAAUAG